This 118-nucleotide ribosomal RNA is filed under the name Lachnospiraceae bacterium KM106-2. The record is from RNAcentral. Lineage: Bacteria; Bacillati; Bacillota; Clostridia; Lachnospirales; Lachnospiraceae.
UCAGGUGAUGAUGCGUCUUUGGGAAACACCCGUUCUCAUCCCGAACACGAUGGUUAAGACUUAGACGGCCGAUGGUACUAUGCUGGAGACGGCAUGGGAGAGUAUGUGGUUGCCUGAU